RNAcentral lists this ribosomal RNA (600 nucleotides) under uncultured bacterium. RNAcentral's name for it is "bacterial SSU rRNA". It matches the Rfam family "Bacterial small subunit ribosomal RNA", at positions 185 to 804 of the family's 1533-position model. The record is from RNAcentral.
AUCGCAUGAUGCAGUGUGAAAAACUCCGGUGGUAUAAGAUGGACCCGCGUUGGAUUAGCUAGUUGGUGAGGUAACGGCCCACCAAGGCGACGAUCCAUAGCCGACCUGAGAGGGUGACCGGCCACAUUGGGACUGAGACACGGCCCAAACUCCUACGGGAGGCAGCAGUGGGGAAUAUUGCACAAUGGGCGAAAGCCUGAUGCAGCGACGCCGCGUGAGCGAAGAAGUAUUUCGGUAUGUAAAGCUCUAUCAGCAGGGAAGAUAAUGACGGUACCUGACUAAGAAGCACCGGCUAAAUACGUGCCAGCAGCCGCGGUAAUACGUAUGGUGCAAGCGUUAUCCGGAUUUGCUGGGUGUAAAGGGAGCGCAGGCGGUGCGGCAAGUCUGAUGUGAAAGCCCGGGGCUCAACCCCGGUACUGCAUUGGAAACUGUCGUACUAGAGUGUCGGAGGGGUAAGCGGAAUUCCUAGUGUAGCGGUGAAAUGCGUAGAUAUUAGGAGGAACACCAGUGGCGAAGGCGGCUUACUGGACGAUAACUGACGCUGAGGCUCGAAAGCGUGGGGAGCAAACAGGAUUAGAUACCCUGGUAGUCCACGCCGUA